AUGUUGCCUAGGGUUGCGCCGUCUCCGGCCACCGCCGCCGCCGCAGCGGUUGGCCAGCUCUCCGGGGCGGGGCUCACCGCCGGUUCGGUGAGGUUGCCGGGGGCCCUGCCGUCUGCGGCAGGGUCGGCGGUCUGCUGCAGGGCCGCGGCGAAGGGGAAGGAGGUGCUCAGCGGUGUGAUGUUCCAGCCGUUCGAGGAGCUCAAGGGGGAGCUCUCGCUCGUGCCGCAGGGCAAGGACCAGUCGCUCGCCAGGCACAAGUUCGUCGACGAGUGCGAGGCCGCCCUCAACGAGCAGAUCAAUGUGGAGUACAAUGCCUCGUACGCGUAUCACUCCCUCUUUGCAUACUUCGACCGCGACAACGUUGCUCUCAAGGGAUUUGCCAAGUUCUUCAAGGAGUCAAGCGAUGAGGAGAGAGGACACGCCGAGAAGCUCAUGGAGUACCAGAACAAACGUGGAGGGAGGGUGAGGCUCCAGUCAAUCGUCACACCCUUAACAGAGUUCGACCAUCCUGAGAAAGGCGAUGCCCUGUAUGCAAUGGAAUUGGCUCUAGCUCUUGAAAAGCUGGUGAAUGAGAAACUGCACAACCUGCACAGUGUAGCUACAAGGUGCAAUGAUCCUCAGCUGACCGACUUUGUUGAGAGUGAAUUCCUUCAGGAGCAGGUUGACGCCAUCAAGAAGAUCUCUGAGUAUGUGUCGCAGCUGAGAAGAGUCGGCAAAGGCCACGGAGUGUGGCACUUCGAUCAGAUGCUGCUUGAGGAGGCAGCUUGA
Molecule: ribosomal RNA, 768 nt
Filed under: Triticum aestivum (bread wheat)
Lineage: Eukaryota; Viridiplantae; Streptophyta; Magnoliopsida; Poales; Poaceae
Description: partial small subunit ribosomal RNA
Source: RNAcentral